AUCGGCCAAAAUAUGGUGUCAACAUAAGUCAUUACCAGGUUAAUGUAUUUUCCAGUUUAAAUGUUGUGCAGGUAAAUUCCAUUUCUUUUUGGAAUGUUCGUAAUUUUAGUCUUUCAUGGAUUGGUUUCUUUGCGCAUGCCCUCAUUGGAGGUUUUCCCUAAUGGCCUAACCUUUCUUUUCAUUUGCGGAUGAUAUUGUUCUGA
This 203-nucleotide unclassified non-coding RNA is filed under the name Hevea brasiliensis (rubber tree). The record is from RNAcentral. Lineage: Eukaryota; Viridiplantae; Streptophyta; Magnoliopsida; Malpighiales; Euphorbiaceae.